Molecule: ribosomal RNA, 468 nt
Filed under: uncultured bacterium
Lineage: Bacteria
Description: partial 16S ribosomal RNA
Rfam family: Bacterial small subunit ribosomal RNA
Source: RNAcentral
GACGAACGCUGGCGGCGUGCUUAACACAUGCAAGUCGAACGGAAAGGCCCUACUUUUGUGGGGUGCUCGAGUGGCGAACGGGUGAGUAACACGGGAGUAACCUGCCCUUGACUUUGGGAUAACUUCAGGAAACUGGGGCUAAUACCGGAUAGGAGCCCCUGUUGCAUGGUGGGGGUUGGAAAGUUUCGGCGGUUGGGGAUGGACUCGCGGCUAAUCAAUUUGUUGGUGGGGUAGUGGCUUACCAAUGCUUUGGCGGGUAGCCGGCCUGGGAGCGUGACCGGCCACAGUGGGACUGAGAGACGGACCAGACUACAACAGGAGGCAGCAGUGGGGAAUAUUGCACAAUGAGCGCGAGCCGGAUGCAGCAACGCCGCGUGCGGGAUGACGACCUUCGGGGUAUAAACCGCUGUCGCCUGUUACGAAGCGUGAGUGACGGUAACCGGUAAAGAAGCACCGGCUAACUACGUG